RNAcentral lists this transfer RNA (86 nucleotides) under Bombardia bombarda. Its description in RNAcentral is "tRNA-Tyr". The record is from RNAcentral. Lineage: Eukaryota; Fungi; Ascomycota; Sordariomycetes; Sordariales; Lasiosphaeriaceae.
CUCCUUGUGGUGUAGUUGGCUAUCACGUUCGACUGUAAUUGAUAAAUCAUAUCGAAAGGUCACCGGCUCGAUUCCGGUCGGGGAGA